RNAcentral lists this ribosomal RNA (210 nucleotides) under uncultured bacterium. Its description in RNAcentral is "partial 16S ribosomal RNA". It matches the Rfam family "Bacterial small subunit ribosomal RNA", at positions 1291 to 1500 of the family's 1533-position model. The record is from RNAcentral.
GUUCGGAUUGCAGGCUGCAACCCGCCUGCAUGAAGUUGGAAUCGCUAGUAAUCGCGGAUCAGCAUGCCGCGGUGAAUACGUUCCCGGGCCUUGUACACACCGCCCGUCACACCAUGAGAGUCGGGAACACCCGAAGUCCGUAGCCUAACCGCAAGGGGGGCGCGGCCGAAGGUGGGUUCGAUAAUUGGGGUGAAGUCGUAACAAGGUAUC